GAUGAACGCUGGCGGCGUGCCUAAUACAUGCAAGUCGAGCGAACGGACGAGAAGCUUGCUUCUCUGAUGUUAGCGGCGGACGGGUGAGUAACACGUGGCUAACCUACCUAUAAGACUGGGAUAACUUCGGGAAACCGGAGCUAAUACCGGAUUAUAUUUUGAACCGCAUGGUUCAAAAGUGAAAGACGGUCUUGCUGUCACUUAUAGAUGGAUCCGCGCUGCAUUAGCUAGUUGGUAAGGUAACGGCUUACCAAGGCAACGAUGCAUAGCCGACCUGAGAGGGUGAUCGGCCACACUGGAACUGAGACACGGUCCAGACUCCUACGGGAGGCAGCAGUAGGGAAUCUUCCGCAAUGGGCGAAAGCCUGACGGAGCAACGCCGCGUGAGUGAUGAAGGUCUUCGGAUCGUAAAACUCUGUUAUUAGGGAAGAACAUAUGUGUAAGUAACUGUGCACAUCUUGACGGUACCUAAUCAGAAAGCCACGGCUAACUACGUG
This 497-nucleotide ribosomal RNA is filed under the name uncultured bacterium. RNAcentral's name for it is "partial 16S ribosomal RNA". It matches the Rfam family "Bacterial small subunit ribosomal RNA", at positions 28 to 507 of the family's 1533-position model. The record is from RNAcentral.